UGCUGUGAACCGCGUGAACCACGUUGAACCGCAUCGGCUUACCCCCCGUAUGACAGAUUUCCUUGGCCGCACUGCCUUUUUCAAUUUUGCUUUGUGCUGUUUUGCGCGCGUAUCGCAUCGAGGCGCGAUCGUGUUUGUUUUUGUUUUCGCAUCAGCUGGACGGCGGAAUUUUUGUUUUUGUUGCAGAACUCCUUCGAUUAUUAUUCAAACAAAAUGGGAAUUCGCUGUCAUGUCCUUGACCACGCCCGUGCACCGGCCUCCCAGAUAAAUGGAGCGGGGUCAUUCGGUGCCCACUACCACCAAAACAAGUUGAAGGAACUUCAGUUGGAAAAGCAAGAACUGGCGGAGAAGAAAUGCUCGAGUGAAGGCGUGAAAUGACCAGGCUGAAGAGUGCCGUUACCGUUCCUCAAGGACGUGUGCAAGAAGAAGGCUUCCCUACCAACGUAGACCCUGCGACCAAGAAGAACCGCAUCCGCGAGGGGAAGGCCCAACCUGGGGCUACCGCAGCCAAGUCGUCGACUUAUGUGUGGGUGUAUUUGUGUGUAUGUUACUGAUGUAAAUUUGUGGUUAAGUUUGAAUUGAAAAUAUAUAAAAUUUACAGCUUUU
This is a long non-coding RNA of Culex pipiens pallens (northern house mosquito), 606 nucleotides long. RefSeq lists it as uncharacterized. The record is from RefSeq and is a predicted model, not a curated record. The transcript is spliced from 2 exons. NCBI's taxonomy places the organism in Eukaryota, Metazoa, Arthropoda, Insecta, Diptera, Culicidae.